CUUCACUCCGCGGAGACCAGCGUCCCGCACCUCGAGAGCGCUCGCUCACUUCUCCCACGUCCCCCACCUUUGCUGCCGACGAGAAAUCAGGCGAGCACCUCCAAACCUCCCUGGAAUGGAACCUUGACUCAGUUCUUCAGUUGAAGGAUGAAGCCGAGUUUUUACCACCUGUAUUUCAGACAAUCUUUGAACUGGUUAAAAGAGAAGUUAACUGAAGUUUGCCUUCCUGAUCUAAGCUUUAACCCAGCCUACAAUCCUACAGGGAUAAUGCUCAGUAACAUGGGAGGAAAUGUCAUCCUGGUUGCAAAAAUAUCUGCCUGUCAGAAGUCGGGAGGACUGACUUCGGGAGGAGGCGGUGAGUCAGACUUGCAGGCGGAGGGGAGGAGGGCUCGAGUGAGCCUCCUCAGUCCGGAGGUUUCCUGGGCAACCGCUAGCGCAGCGAUUAACUGCACAGAAGCACGAGGUUUCCACUCACAACGACCAGGAGGAUGUACUUAAAAAUAAAUAAAUAAAAGGAAACAGACCGUGUUUCUCCUGCUGUGGAACACUCCCCGUCGCAGGCUGGACUGCAGGUGCUGAAUUCCGCUUCAGUGAGCCAUGUGGCGCCUGCGCAGGGCCCCGGCGGAAGAGGGCAGUCCUGUGAGAUGCGCUGCUCCUGCCUCAGGCCUGUCUGUCCAUCUGCUGCCGGGCGGCCUGCCUCUGUCCUGAGUACCUGUGAUCUGACACCUGAUUUUCCAUGACCCCUGCCUCUGUCCGAGGCAUCGUCAUUGGUUGCAGACCCUCCCUGUCAACUCGCAUCCCACAAGGCAAGUGCAGCUGGCUGUUCUUUCUGAAACACGGUGGCAUGUUGUGCUUUGAUUUGGAGGGGAGUCAUUAUGGGCACCUGCGCUGCCCUCUGUGGUUCAGGUGCCAGGCCGAGUCGUGUGCAGGAACCCCAUCGCGGCUGGAUGGCUCUGCGCCCGUCCCACCCCCGUUCUACCCCGUUCUUCACAGACAAGGGGAACAUGAGCAUUUUGCUCUGGGAGACGUGAGUUUCAGUAAUAGAAUGUUCUUAUGUGCGGUCUGUGGUGUGGCCCAGGGAAAAGGUGUGUGAGGGGCACUGUGGUGCCUCUUUUGCCUCUUCAUACGUCCUUUGUGUCUGGGAGCCCCUGACCUUUGUAUCUCGCCUCUGAGCUACCUGUUCUCUGAUGGGCUGUCGGGGGCUAGCACUCCCUCUCCCCCUACCCCUCAGCUCACAGGGAGAUGGCCCCGUAGACACUGCUCGGUAGAUAUUGGUUUGCUGAGCAUCCAGGGCUGCCAGUGAGAGGACCCAGCACUGCCCCUCUGUGACCAGAGACCAUGUGUGUGGCAGCCCAGUGUGGCGCGGCCAAGACCCUUAGAUCUGUGCUGGAGCCAAUAGCACCUCAAGGGUCUGAGACCCUUGAAGGUUGUCGGUGCGUGCUGGGCUCACGGGCGGAAUACUGUCUUCCACCUGCCUACCCCUGUCUUGGGUAUCCGGGAUCCCCGCUCCUCUGUCAGGCAGGGGAGUGGAGCACAGACCUCAUCCUGACUCCCCCAACUCCUGCUGUUGACUCACACAGCCUCCUUGAGAAGGCUCAUGGGACCAGUGGAAAUUGAGGGAGAAAAUAAUGGGGUCACACACUGAAGGCUGGCUUGGUGUCCUGUGGGGAGGUGGAGGGCACCGUGUGCUGUGGAAGGCGGCGUCCUCUCUGCCGCACUGUCUCAUCCGCCUCUCAGUCAGUGGGUGGUGCCUCUCGCUGUCGUCAUGCUCAGCGUGGAACUGUUUCACACAGGAUUUUCACUGUUCUCUCUGGUGCCUAUUUUGGGGGUGCUUCCCAGCCAGUGCUCAAAGGGUCCCGUUCAUGGAUUUUCAGUGGAACCAGGUCACAUGGGUUCAGUGUGAGGGCUUGAGGGGUGGUGCGUUUGAGCCCUGCAAUGUUGGGACCACCAGGGGUGCACCCAGUAGCGUUUGGGGUGCUGUGUGGUGCCCAGAAUCCACCCAUUUUUAGGUGCAUGUAAAGCAUAUGCCCUCACUUCAAACCCUGUAGGAAAAUGGGCAUGUGGAGGAAACCCCCCAAGUGUUGGACUCCCUCCAGGAUGGUGCCGCCCAUUCCAGUACCAGUUUGACCCAUGAUCCCUGGAUAUGUUAAUACGGGGAAGGUUGCUCUCACUGUGCCUGGUGGAGAUUCUGGCGUUGCAUUUGCUGGAGCCUCCAGGAAGUCAUGUAUGUAGAGAAACACCUUGAGUCCUUAGCUUGGUGUCACUAAGGUGUCGCCCUGGAGAGAGCCCCCUAGCACCGCUGGCUGUGUCCCUGGUGACCCAGAAGCAGCCCCAUGUGGGUGGCUCCGGUGGUCCCUGGCACUGCUGGGUCUGGGCGGCACUGUGUCCUUGGGCUCUUGCUUUGGGGCAUCGGGCUCACUCAUCCAUGUAUUGUUGGGAGUGGCCCCCGAAUCUCAGAGCACUGCUUGGGAGCCUCCCUCUCACUUCCGAAAAAGGUCAGUGAAAAAUGAAGGAAAAGAUGAAUACACGUCCUUGAAACAUUCACAGUGGAUUUUUGGAGGCCACAGGGUCCCCUGGGGCCUGCAAGGAUACAGUCAACCGUGGGAGCAGAAGCCUGGCCAGGACAGCUUCUGGACAGCGCUUUCCUGAGAUCUGCCGGCAUACGGGGCCUGGGUUUGGCAUGCCAUUGCUCUCAGGCUGGUUAUUUUGCAGCAGCUAAAACUAUUUAAAGCUAUUCAUUGCAUAUAACUUAAUUCAUUAUACACGAAAAAAAUCUUCCUUGUACUAAUCUCCCUCCACUCCCCCGCAAUACAGUCUUUCUCAAUACUUGGGGAGCACAGCCUAGGAAAUGCUGAUUAAAGAUCUUGGAGGAUAAUUAGUGCAGAUUGGUGAGGUUGAAGAGAAACUGUUCUGGGUCGGGGCACCCUGCUUCAGCUCUAGUCUUGAAGAAGAUGAAUGCUGGUGUUAAUUGAGUUUCAUCUGGAUAGUGGGGCUCUCCGCCCACGAGAGUCCACGCUGGUGCCUUCCUCUCCCCCUCACCACUGCCAGCCGCUCUCUGGAGGUGGUGGAGUGAGGAGCUGAUUUGUUAUUUUUUCCUCUGCAGCAAUGAGUUGCUAUGAUCUGCAAUUUUGGGGGAAAAGGGAGCAGAGACACUAUUGAGAGGGAAAAAAAUAACCCAGACACCUACCUCCUAAGCUUAAACUAUGUAUUAGGAAAUCUGGAUGGUCAUGGUAGUCUUAAGGUCCAAUAUCUCAAGCCUAGUUUUUGAAAACGUUGGACAUAGUUUGGCAUAUGAAUUUUGACACAGAUGAUGCCAGCCUUACGUCCUUACGUACUUACAGUGAGACUGGAGAGGGGGAUUGCACUUGUGAAGCUCUAAAUUUGAUCGCCAGCACCACCAAAAAAAAAAAAAAAGAAAAGAGAGAAAGAAAAAUAACGAGAAGCUGAGGGUUAACUCAUGCAGAAAGGGAAAGCCAAGCGAAGGGGGAGGCUGCGUCAUGACCGGGUUUUAUGGCAGAGCCCGCUGGUGUCCCCUGGGCCCCACAACUCCCUCUCUAGAGAUGCUGGCGCUUUGCUCCAGAACCAGGUGUUUGGCAGCUUCAUGGCCGUGCAGUGAACUUCUGGCUUAUUCUUGGUUGUUUCCAGAAUCUUCCCUAAAGGACCGUAUGUGUCUCCCUUGCUGUUUAUACAUGUUUCUCCCAGUGUUCUGUUCAGGAAUGUGGGUGUUAUGUCUCGGAUCCCAGCUUCAGAAUGGAGGCUGUACCAUGUGGGACUUUGACCUGAGGGGGGAAGAAACACCUCUUGUUUAAGUUCCGCUCUUGCUACUUUGGUACUUCCUGCCACUCUCAGCCAAACCUAACUUGAGCCUGGCAAAGGCAGUUGUACUUUACUUACAGCUCUUAGUUCUGCACUUAUAUUCCGAUUUUCACUGAGACGAUUCCAAGGUGGGGUUAUUAGGAAGGAAGCAACAUGCCCUCAAGCACAACAGUUAUGUGAUCCUGUGUGCCAGCUUUGUGAUGCUCAGGUCGCCAAGAGCGUCAUCCUUGCUCGAUGAACAAGCACACAGCCUCAAGAAGGCCACGUGGCACUUGGUUUUGUAACAUUCAUGCUUUGGCAGAGCUCCAGGUUUGUGGAUUUUUUUUUAAAAAAAAAAGACGUUGGGUUUUUCAGAGAAAUUCACUUGCGGCUUUUUGAAAGUGACAAACAUGUUAACUGUUUUUCAGUCAAUAAUAGUCUUUUUUUUUUAUUUCAAAGAAACCUGUAUUGUUCUUCUAUUUUCUUCACUUUUGUCACUUGGCGAUUGGGACAUCUCUGCGAAAGAAUAGUUCAAAGAGGGAGUUUGUAGUUCUCUAUCCUUAGUAGUAUCCACAUUAAAGGAAAAGAAUCUUAAAAAAAAAAAAUUCUGAGUAAGUGACAACUCCAGAACAUUCCCCAGGUGGUGAUGUAGAAAUGAGGGUUCGGGUGGCCUGAGCGUGGCUCUGAAGUCAGCAUAUGCCACGUGGAGGCCAAGGAGAACAGGACGUGAGAUGCCGGGCGCUGGCUGCUGGCCUGGACUGGAGUGGGCAGGCUGGCAGACCAGGCCUGAGGGCAGGUGGGGCCCAGCGGGUCUGGGGAGCUGGUAAACCAGGCCCAGUGCUAACAACUCAUUGGCAGCAGAAGCUGCAGUUGAAACAGGCAUCUUGACCCACUGCCAGAGCUCCUUCAAAGCCAUUCCCUUUUGUCAUCUCAGAGUGAACACUUAAUUAGCACAGCAGCCUCUGAGUGUGUUUCUGGGAACACUAAAUCUGCAGGUCUCCUGCAUUAAAAAAAAAAAAAAAGAUUCUGUGGCAAAUAAAAUUGGAACUAUGUGGUGGUCUUACUCACCUCCUGAAAAUCCACAGGGCACUCUUAGCACACUUAAGUCGACGGAUGAGUCUAAGAUGUAAUGGGCCCUGUUAAACUUUGUUUACCCCAGUUUCUGCAAAUGAAAAUUGUGUCUUCUUAAACUUGGAACUCCUUUCUGAUUCUCUUAAUGAGCAGUUAGCAUUGGUCUUGGAAAUUACCCUCAGAGUGGGUCGAGUGUCUGAGAAAAACGCAUGA
Molecule: long non-coding RNA, 5079 nt
Organism: Sorex araneus (European shrew)
Lineage: Eukaryota; Metazoa; Chordata; Mammalia; Eulipotyphla; Soricidae
Exons: 6
Source: RefSeq, a predicted model, not a curated record